Non-coding RNA from Homo sapiens (human), 148 nucleotides. It matches the Rfam family "Metazoan signal recognition particle RNA". From Rfam's summary of the family: The signal recognition particle (SRP) is a universally conserved ribonucleoprotein. It is involved in the co-translational targeting of proteins to membranes. The record is from Rfam. Lineage: Eukaryota; Metazoa; Chordata; Mammalia; Primates; Hominidae.
GCCAGGCGUGGUGGUGCACGCCUGUAGUCCCAGCUACUCGGGAGGCUGAGGCAGGAGAAUCGCUGGAACCCGGGAGGUGGAGGUUGUAGUGAGCAGAGAUCAUGCCACUGCACUCCACCCUGGGUGACAGAGCGAGACUUUGUCUCAA